This 241-nucleotide unclassified non-coding RNA is filed under the name Hevea brasiliensis (rubber tree). Lineage: Eukaryota; Viridiplantae; Streptophyta; Magnoliopsida; Malpighiales; Euphorbiaceae. The record is from RNAcentral.
GGCCAGGCCGGCGGAUACGCGCCCAUGCAUAUGCACACGCCCCCUUUCCUCCCCGUCUCCUGGGACGCCGCCGCAUCCUCCUCCUCCGCCGCCGCCGCCGACCGACCGCCGCAGCCCACCGGCGCCGCCACCUCCGACGCCUUCUCCGCCUUCCUCGCCUCCCAAGCGGCGCAGCAAAACGCACAGCAACCGAACGGCAUGGAGGCGUACAACCGGAUGAUGGCAAUGUACCAGAAGCUAA